AAACAAACGACUCUCGGCAACGGAUAUCUCGGCUCUCGCAUCGAUGAAGAACGUAGCGAAAUGCGAUACUUGGUGUGAAUUGCAGGAUCCCGUGAAUCAUCGAGUUUUUGAACGCAAGUUGCGCCCGAAGCCAUUAGGCCGAGGGCACGCCUGCCUGGGCGUCACGCAUCGCGUC
Molecule: ribosomal RNA, 175 nt
Filed under: Dillenia blanchardii
Lineage: Eukaryota; Viridiplantae; Streptophyta; Magnoliopsida; Dilleniales; Dilleniaceae
Description: 5.8S ribosomal RNA
Rfam family: 5.8S ribosomal RNA (bases 9-164)
About the family: 5.8S ribosomal RNA (5.8S rRNA) is a component of the large subunit of the eukaryotic ribosome.
Source: RNAcentral